Molecule: ribosomal RNA, 409 nt
Filed under: Actinomycetes bacterium
Lineage: Bacteria; Bacillati; Actinomycetota; Actinomycetes
Description: Actinobacteria bacterium partial 16S ribosomal RNA
Rfam family: Bacterial small subunit ribosomal RNA
Source: RNAcentral
UGGGGAAUAUUGCACAAUGGGCGCAAGCCUGAUGCAGCGACGCCGCGUGAGGGAUGACGGCCUUCGGGGUGUAAACCUCUUUCAGCUCCGACGAAGCGCAAGUGACGGUAGGAGCAGAAGAAGCACCGGCCAACUACGUGCCAGCAGCCGCGGUAAUACGUAGGGUGCAAGCGUUGUCCGGAAUUACUGGGCGUAAAGAGCUCGUAGGCGGUUUGUCGCGUCGUCUGUGAAAUUCUGCAGCUUAACUGCAGGCGUGCAGGCGAUACGGGCAGACUUGAGUACUACAGGGGAGACUGGAAUUCCUGGUGUAGCGGUGAAAUGCGCAGAUAUCAGGAGGAACACCGGUGGCGAAGGCGGGUCUCUGGGUAGUAACUGACGCUGAGGAGCGAAAGCGUGGGUAGCGAACAGG